RNAcentral lists this ribosomal RNA (93 nucleotides) under Streptococcus pneumoniae GA13224. Lineage: Bacteria; Bacillati; Bacillota; Bacilli; Lactobacillales; Streptococcaceae. The record is from RNAcentral.
GUGACGAUAGCCUAGGAGAUACACCUGUACCCAUGCCGAACACAGAAGUUAAGCCCUAGAACGCCGGAAGUAGUUGGGGGUUGCCCCCUGUGA